This 465-nucleotide ribosomal RNA is filed under the name Vreelandella stevensii. Its description in RNAcentral is "partial 16S ribosomal RNA". It matches the Rfam family "Bacterial small subunit ribosomal RNA", at positions 338 to 795 of the family's 1533-position model. The record is from RNAcentral. Lineage: Bacteria; Pseudomonadati; Pseudomonadota; Gammaproteobacteria; Oceanospirillales; Halomonadaceae.
CCUACGGGUGGCUGCAGUGGGGAAUAUUGGACAAUGGGCGAAAGCCUGAUCCAGCCAUGCCGCGUGUGUGAAGAAGGCCUUCGGGUUGUAAAGCACUUUCAGUGGGGAAGAAAGCCUUGGGGCUAAUACCCUCGAGGAAGGACAUCACCCACAGAAGAAGCACCGGCUAACUCCGUGCCAGCAGCCGCGGUAAUACGGAGGGUGCGAGCGUUAAUCGGAAUUACUGGGCGUAAAGCGCGCGUAGGCGGUCUGAUAAGCCGGUUGUGAAAGCCCCGGGCUCAACCUGGGAACGGCAUCCGGAACUGUCAGGCUUGAGUGCGAGAGAGGAUGGCAGAAUUCGCGAUGUAGCGGUGAAAUGCAUAGAGAUGGGGAGGAAUACCAGUGGCGAAGGCGGCCUUCUGAGCUGACACUGACGCUGAGGUGCGAAAGCGUGGGUAGCAAACAGGAUUAGAUACCCUGGUAGUC